UUUGCCAAACGCGUAGAGUUUAUCUACGUUGGCCUAGGGACGUCGUUCAGCAACUUCAUCAUGUCUAUAAAGCCGUUUUUUUUUUCCUCCCUCAACGCUUGCCUAACUCCCAACUCCUGAGAUGCGCGAUAGGUUUGGGCCGCUUGUGCCAAAGCUCCGUUCAUCGCCGACUCCGCCUUUGUAUCCCUUUCCCGGUUCAGCUUUUGCAGGCUCUCCUGCUCCGGAUCACGAGGUUGCUCCUGCGCCUCGACUAUUGCUUUGAAAUCGAGGACCCUGGGCGACCGGUGUACCAGAUCCGCCGGUUGAUCCCUAAUUUGAUCCACCGCACACCGCCUAUCGGCGUUUUGGAUUUGGACCUGGGGAGAUGGAACUGGCCUCGCCGGUGGGCUUCCGACCCAACUCGUCCUGCGCUUUCACCAAAGCCCCUAUUCUUCCGUCGUCAACUGAACUAGCUAUCCACAAUCGAUAUGCAGCAUGUGGGGUUGACAUGGGACACGAUUACGCAAUUAAGUAUAUACAUAUACCGAUAACAAAUUAGAAGUACAAGACGGGGAGAAAAUCCCAAGAGCCAACAUCAUUUAAAUAAAAAAUACCAAAAAAAAACCUUUAAAACUACUA
Drosophila biarmipes is the source of this 618-nucleotide long non-coding RNA. RefSeq lists it as uncharacterized. NCBI's taxonomy places the organism in Eukaryota, Metazoa, Arthropoda, Insecta, Diptera, Drosophilidae. The record is from RefSeq and is a predicted model, not a curated record. The transcript is spliced from 2 exons.